GGCUCUGUGGUGCAAUGGAUAGCGCAUUGGACUUAUAAUUCAAAGGUUGUGGGUUCGAGUCCCACCAGAGUCG
This 73-nucleotide transfer RNA is filed under the name Danio rerio (zebrafish). RNAcentral describes it as "tRNA-Ile (TAT) (tRNA-Ile-TAT-34-1)". It matches the Rfam family "tRNA". Rfam says of the family: Transfer RNA (tRNA) molecules are approximately 80 nucleotides in length. Their secondary structure includes four short double-helical elements and three loops (D, anti-codon, and T loops). Further hydrogen bonds mediate the characteristic L-shaped molecular structure. tRNAs have two regions of fundamental functional importance: the anti-codon, which is responsible for specific mRNA codon recognition, and the 3' end, to which the tRNAs corresponding amino acid is attached (by aminoacyl-tRNA synthetases). tRNAs cope with the degeneracy of the genetic code in two manners: having more than one tRNA (with a specific anti-codon) for a particular amino acid; and 'wobble' base-pairing, i.e. permitting non-standard base-pairing at the 3rd anti-codon position. The record is from RNAcentral. Lineage: Eukaryota; Metazoa; Chordata; Actinopteri; Cypriniformes; Danionidae.